Molecule: unclassified non-coding RNA, 200 nt
Filed under: Agaricomycetes sp.
Lineage: Eukaryota; Fungi; Basidiomycota; Agaricomycetes
Description: partial internal transcribed spacer 2
Source: RNAcentral
UUAAGUUCAGCGGGUAGUCCUACCUGAUUUGAGGUCAAAAUGAUCAAAUUGUCCCGUGAAGGACGAUUAGAAGCCAGACAAUUCGAGCUACACAGUGACGACAUUAUCACACCGCAUAUAUGCUGCGAACUAAAUUCCAGCUAAUGCAUUCAAGAGAAGCUGACUUACACCAGCAAUCCCCAAGUCCAAGCUCAUCUCAC